RNAcentral lists this ribosomal RNA (1316 nucleotides) under Paenarthrobacter sp. Its description in RNAcentral is "bacterial SSU rRNA". It matches the Rfam family "Bacterial small subunit ribosomal RNA", at positions 94 to 1421 of the family's 1533-position model. Lineage: Bacteria; Bacillati; Actinomycetota; Actinomycetes; Micrococcales; Micrococcaceae. The record is from RNAcentral.
AGUGGCGAACGGGUGAGUAACACGUGAGUAACCUGCCCUUGACUCUGGGAUAAGCCUGGGAAACUGGGUCUAAUACCGGAUACGACCAUCUGACGCAUGUCAUGGUGGUGGAAAGCUUUUGCGGUUUUGGAUGGACUCGCGGCCUAUCAGCUUGUUGGUGGGGUAAUGGCCUACCAAGGCGACGACGGGUAGCCGGCCUGAGAGGGUGACCGGCCACACUGGGACUGAGACACGGCCCAGACUCCUACGGGAGGCAGCAGUGGGGAAUAUUGCACAAUGGGCGAAAGCCUGAUGCAGCGACGCCGCGUGAGGGAUGACGGCCUUCGGGUUGUAAACCUCUUUCAGUAGGGAAGAAGCGAAAGUGACGGUACCUGCAGAAGAAGCGCCGGCUAACUACGUGCCAGCAGCCGCGGUAAUACGUAGGGCGCAAGCGUUAUCCGGAAUUAUUGGGCGUAAAGAGCUCGUAGGCGGUUUGUCGCGUCUGCUGUGAAAGACCGGGGCUCAACUCCGGUUCUGCAGUGGGUACGGGCAGACUAGAGUGCAGUAGGGGAGACUGGAAUUCCUGGUGUAGCGGUGAAAUGCGCAGAUAUCAGGAGGAACACCGAUGGCGAAGGCAGGUCUCUGGGCUGUAACUGACGCUGAGGAGCGAAAGCAUGGGGAGCGAACAGGAUUAGAUACCCUGGUAGUCCAUGCCGUAAACGUUGGGCACUAGGUGUGGGGGACAUUCCACGUUUUCCGCGCCGUAGCUAACGCAUUAAGUGCCCCGCCUGGGGAGUACGGCCGCAAGGCUAAAACUCAAAGGAAUUGACGGGGGCCCGCACAAGCGGCGGAGCAUGCGGAUUAAUUCGAUGCAACGCGAAGAACCUUACCAAGGCUUGACAUGAACCGGAAAGACCUGGAAACAGGUGCCCCGCUUGCGGUCGGUUUACAGGUGGUGCAUGGUUGUCGUCAGCUCGUGUCGUGAGAUGUUGGGUUAAGUCCCGCAACGAGCGCAACCCUCGUUCUAUGUUGCCAGCGCGUUAUGGCGGGGACUCAUAGGAGACUGCCGGGGUCAACUCGGAGGAAGGUGGGGACGACGUCAAAUCAUCAUGCCCCUUAUGUCUUGGGCUUCACGCAUGCUACAAUGGCCGGUACAAAGGGUUGCGAUACUGUGAGGUGGAGCUAAUCCCAAAAAGCCGGUCUCAGUUCGGAUUGGGGUCUGCAACUCGACCCCAUGAAGUCGGAGUCGCUAGUAAUCGCAGAUCAGCAACGCUGCGGUGAAUACGUUCCCGGGCCUUGUACACACCGCCCGUCAAGUCACGAAAGUUGGUAACACC